AUUGGACGCUGGCGGCAGGCCUAACACAUGAAAGUCGAACGAGUGGCGGACUGGUGAGUAAUGUCUGGGAAACUGCCUGAUGGAGGUUGAUAACUACUUGAAACGGUAGCUAAUACCGCAUACCAUCGGCUUUGCACAUAUGGGAUUUGCUAGUAGUUGGGGUAAAGGCUCACCUAGGCGACGAUCCCUCGCUGGUCUGAGAGGAUGACCAGCCACCCUGGAACUGAGACACGGGCCAGACUCCUACGGGAGGCAGCAGUGGGGAAUAUUGCACAAUGGGCGCAAGCCUGAUGCAGCCAUGCCGCGGGUAUGAAGAAGGCCUUCGGGUUGUAAAGUACUUUCAGCGGGGAGGCGUUACCCGCAGAAGAAGCACCGGCUAACUCCGUGCCAGCAGCCGCGGUAAUAC
This 406-nucleotide ribosomal RNA is filed under the name uncultured bacterium. RNAcentral describes it as "partial 16S ribosomal RNA". It matches the Rfam family "Bacterial small subunit ribosomal RNA", at positions 30 to 526 of the family's 1533-position model. The record is from RNAcentral.